UACGGGGGGAGCAAGCGUUGUUCGGAUUUACUGGGCGUAAAAGGCGCGUAGGCGGUCGUGACAAGUCACUUGUGAAAUCUCCGGGCUUAACUCGGAACGGUCAAGUGAUACUGUCGGACUAGAGUACAGAAGGGGCAACUGGAAUUCUCGGUGUAGCGGUGAAAUGCGUAGAUAUCGAGAGGGACACCUGCGGCGAAGGCGGGUUGCUGGGCUGAUACUGACGCUGAGGCGCGAAAGCCAGGGGAGCGAACGGG
RNAcentral lists this ribosomal RNA (254 nucleotides) under uncultured bacterium. Its description in RNAcentral is "partial 16S ribosomal RNA". It matches the Rfam family "Bacterial small subunit ribosomal RNA", at positions 524 to 776 of the family's 1533-position model. The record is from RNAcentral.